This 253-nucleotide ribosomal RNA is filed under the name uncultured bacterium. RNAcentral's name for it is "partial 16S ribosomal RNA". It matches the Rfam family "Bacterial small subunit ribosomal RNA", at positions 524 to 776 of the family's 1533-position model. The record is from RNAcentral.
AACGUAGGAGGCGAGCGUUAUCCGGAUUUACUGGGUGUAAAGCGCGUGCAGGCGGUUGGAUAAGUUGGGUGUGAAAGCUCCCGGCUCAACUGGGAGAGGUUGCUCAAGACUGUUCGACUGGAGCGUGGCAGGGGAAGGCGGAAUUCCGGGUGUAGUGGUGAAAUGCGUAGAUAUCCGGAGGAACACCAGUGGCGAAAGCGGCCUUCUGGGCCACGACUGACGCUCAGACGCGAAAGCUAGGGGAGCAAACGGG